AUUGAACGCUGGCGGCAGGCUUAACACAUGCAAGUCGAGCGGGGUGAUGGUGCUUGCACUAUCACUUAGCGGCGGACGGGUGAGUACUGCUUAGGAAUCUGCCUAUUAGUGGGGGACAACAUUCCGAAAGGAAUGCUAAUACCGCAUACGCCCUACGGGGGAAAGCAGGGGAUCUUCGGACCUUGCGCUAAUAGAUGAGCCUAAGUCGGAUUAGCUAGUUGGUGGGGUAAAGGCCUACCAAGGCGACGAUCUGUAGCGGGUCUGAGAGGAUGAUCCGCAACACUGGGACUGAGACACGGCCCAGACUCUUACGGGAGGCAGCAGUGGGGAAUAUUGGACAAUGGGCGGAAGCCUGAUCCAGCCAUGCCGCGUGUGUGAAGAAGGCCUUUUGGUUGUAAAGCACUUUAAGCGAGGAGGAGGCUACUUAGAUUAAUACUCUGGGAUAGUGGACGUUACUCGCAGAAUAAGCACCGGCUAACUCUGUGCCAGCAGCCGCCGUAA
Molecule: ribosomal RNA, 501 nt
Filed under: uncultured bacterium
Lineage: Bacteria
Description: partial 16S ribosomal RNA
Rfam family: Bacterial small subunit ribosomal RNA
Source: RNAcentral